This 399-nucleotide ribosomal RNA is filed under the name Callianassa sp. RR-2008. RNAcentral's name for it is "partial 12S ribosomal RNA". The record is from RNAcentral. Lineage: Eukaryota; Metazoa; Arthropoda; Malacostraca; Decapoda; Callianassidae.
UCUAGUUUAAACCUCAUAUUGCUAGAAGACUAAUAGAUAUGUUCUCUAAAUUUAAAGGAUUUGGCGGCAACUUAGUCCAGUUAGAGGAACCUGUCUCUUAAACGAUACACCACGCAAAAUCUUACCUAUUUUUAGCUUGUAUACCGUCAUUAUUUAGAUAACCCUAAAAAGGAAAGUUAUUGAAAUAAGAAUUUUUAAUAUAUUAGAUCAAGGUGCAGCGUAUAAAUAGGGACAAUAUGGGUUACAAUGAGUCUUACUUAUACGAAUAUAACCAUUAAACAUUUAUUGAAGGAGGAUUUAAUAGUAAAAUUAGUUUAAUAAGCUAAUUUGGUAGAGGAUCUAAGAUGUGUACAUAUCGCCCGUCACUUUCAUACUCAAAUGAAAUAAGUCGUAACAUAG